RNAcentral lists this ribosomal RNA (274 nucleotides) under uncultured bacterium. RNAcentral describes it as "partial 16S ribosomal RNA". It matches the Rfam family "Bacterial small subunit ribosomal RNA", at positions 523 to 796 of the family's 1533-position model. The record is from RNAcentral.
AUACGGGGGGUGCAAGCGUUAUUCGGAUUUAUUGGGCGUAAAGGGCGCGUAGGCGGCUUGGUAAGUCAGAUGUGAAAGCCCGGGGCUUAACCCCGGAAGUGCAUUUGAAACUAUCAAGCUUGAGUAUGGGAGAGGGAAGUGGAAUUCCUGGUGUAGAGGUGAAAUUCGUAGAUAUCAGGAGGAACACCGGUGGCGAAGGCGACUUCCUGGACCAAUACUGACGCUGAGGCGCGAAGGCGUGGGGAGCAAACAGGAUUAGAAACCCCAGUAGUCC